Molecule: transfer RNA, 73 nt
Filed under: Paractinoplanes abujensis
Lineage: Bacteria; Bacillati; Actinomycetota; Actinomycetes; Micromonosporales; Micromonosporaceae
Description: tRNA-Gln
Rfam family: tRNA
About the family: Transfer RNA (tRNA) molecules are approximately 80 nucleotides in length. Their secondary structure includes four short double-helical elements and three loops (D, anti-codon, and T loops). Further hydrogen bonds mediate the characteristic L-shaped molecular structure. tRNAs have two regions of fundamental functional importance: the anti-codon, which is responsible for specific mRNA codon recognition, and the 3' end, to which the tRNAs corresponding amino acid is attached (by aminoacyl-tRNA synthetases). tRNAs cope with the degeneracy of the genetic code in two manners: having more than one tRNA (with a specific anti-codon) for a particular amino acid; and 'wobble' base-pairing, i.e. permitting non-standard base-pairing at the 3rd anti-codon position.
Source: RNAcentral
UCCCGGAUCGUCUAAUGGUAGGACCGCGGCUUUUGGUGCCGUUUAUAGGGGUUCGAAUCCUCUUCCGGGAGCC